RNAcentral lists this ribosomal RNA (174 nucleotides) under Limosilactobacillus fermentum. RNAcentral describes it as "Lactobacillus fermentum partial 16S ribosomal RNA". Lineage: Bacteria; Bacillati; Bacillota; Bacilli; Lactobacillales; Lactobacillaceae. The record is from RNAcentral.
GGGGGGCGGGGNNGCCUUUGGUUAGACCGUCACGUAUGAACAGUUACUCUCAUACGUGUUCUUCUUUAACAACAGAGCUUUACGAGCCGAAAGCCUUCUUCACUCACGCGGUGUUGCUCCAUCAGGCUUGCGCCCAUUGUGGAAGAUUCCCUACUGCUGCCUCCCGUAGGAGUA